CAAACAUUAUUUGAUAUCCUUCAGUAGCUAGGUAUACACUUUGACCUAGAAGUGAUGCAAAUAAAAGCCAAGGUGAAGGAUAUCACUACAGAUGUGAUAAAUAACAUGUUUGAUGAGGAUGAGGAAGGGGAUAAAAGUGAAGAGAAUGCUGAUACAAGCAGUGGUGCUGAUAAAGAUGGUGAUGGAGAUGAUGAUGCCUAGUUCUCACUUGAGGAAAUUAUAUGACUGGUAAUUUAUCUCUCGCUCUAGGGAUUUGAUUUGCAAUUCUCAAUAGAAUUAUAAAAUUGUAGCCAUUUUAGAUGUUCAAUAGGUGGGAUUGUAACAUAUGAUGUAGUUACUCUUUUAUAGUAACUUAUUGUAGUAUGCUUGUAGUUGAAGUUACUCAUAGCAGAAGUUUCAAAGAUUUGAGUUUUGGAAGAAAGUAUGUAUUGUAGUAAUUAGAUUGAGUUUUCAAAGAUGAUUAUGUUAACAUUUUGCUCAAACAUUAUGAACAAUUCUCUUGUUAAUGUUUCAGAACUCAAUAAUUUAAAA
Molecule: long non-coding RNA, 531 nt
Organism: Gossypium arboreum
Lineage: Eukaryota; Viridiplantae; Streptophyta; Magnoliopsida; Malvales; Malvaceae
Exons: 2
Source: RefSeq, a predicted model, not a curated record